CCUGAUCCAGCCAUCCCGCGUGUGCGAUGAAGGCCUUCGGGUUGUAAAGCACUUUUGGCAGGAAAGAAACGUCAUGGGUUAAUACCCCGUGAAACUGACGGUACCUGCAGAAUAAGCACCGGCUAACUACGUGCCAGCAGCCGCGGUAAUACGUAGGGUGCAAGCGUUAAUCGGAAUUACUGGGCGUAAAGCGUGCGCAGGCGGUUCGGAAAGAAAGAUGUGAAAUCCCAGAGCUUAACUUUGGAACUGCAUUUUUAACUACCGGGCUAGAGUGUGUCAGAGGGAGGUGGAAUUCCGCGUGUAGCAGUGAAAUGCGUAGAUAUGCGGAGGAACACCGAUGGCGAAGGCAGCCUCCUGGGAUAACACUGACGCUCAUGCACGAAAGCGUGGGGAGCAAACAGGAUUAGAUACCCUGGUAGUCCACGCCCUAAACGAUGUCAACUAGCUGUUGGGGCCUUCGGGCCUUGGUAGCGCAGCUAACGCGUGAAGUUGACCGCCUGG
Molecule: ribosomal RNA, 501 nt
Filed under: Aquipseudomonas alcaligenes
Lineage: Bacteria; Pseudomonadati; Pseudomonadota; Gammaproteobacteria; Pseudomonadales; Pseudomonadaceae
Description: bacterial SSU rRNA
Rfam family: Bacterial small subunit ribosomal RNA
Source: RNAcentral